Molecule: ribosomal RNA, 681 nt
Filed under: uncultured Actinomycetes bacterium
Lineage: Bacteria; Bacillati; Actinomycetota; Actinomycetes
Description: bacterial SSU rRNA
Rfam family: Bacterial small subunit ribosomal RNA
Source: RNAcentral
GAUGAACGCUGGCGGCGUGCUUAACACAUGCAAGUCGAACGAUGAUGGGAGCUUGCUCCUGGAUUAGUGGCGAACGGGUGAGUAACACGUGAGUAACCUGCCCUUAACUCUGGGAUAAGCCUGGGAAACUGGGUCUAAUACCGGAUAUGACUCCUCAUCGCAUGGUGGGGGGUGGAAAGCUUUAUUGUGGUUUUGGAUGGACUCGCGGCCUAUCAGCUUGUUGGUGAGGUAAUGGCUUACCAAGGCGACGACGGGUAGCCGGCCUGAGAGGGUGACCGGCCACACUGGGACUGAGACACGGCCCAGACUCCUACGGGAGGCAGCAGUGGGGAAUAUUGCACAAUGGGCGCAAGCCUGAUGCAGCGACGCCGCGUGAGGGAUGACGGCCUUCGGGUUGUAAACCUCUUUCAGUAGGGAAGAAGCGAAAGUGACGGUACCUGCAGAAGAAGCGCCGGCUAACUACGUGCCAGCAGCCGCGGUAAUACGUAGGGCGCAAGCGUUAUCCGGAAUUAUUGGGCGUAAAGAGCUCGUAGGCGGUUUGUCGCGUCUGCCGUGAAAGUCCGGGGCUCAACUCCGGAUCUGCGGUGGGUACGGGCAGACUAGAGUGAUGUAGGGGAGACUGGAAUUCCUGGUGUAGCGGUGAAAUGCGCAGAUAUCAGGAGGAACACCGAUGGCGAAGGC